UAACCUGCCCAAGAGAUCGGGAUAACACCUGGAAACAGAUGCUAAUACCGGAUAACAACAGAUGAUGCCUAUCAACUGUUUAAAAGAUGGUUCUGCUAUCACUCUUGGAUGGACCUGCGGUGCAUUAGCUAGUUGGUAGGGUAACGGCCUACCAAGGCGAUGAUGCAUAGCCGAGUUGAGAGACUGAUCGGCCACAUUGGGACUGAGACACGGCCCAAACUCCUACGGGAGGCAGCAGUAG
RNAcentral lists this ribosomal RNA (241 nucleotides) under uncultured Lactobacillus sp. RNAcentral describes it as "partial 16S ribosomal RNA". It matches the Rfam family "Bacterial small subunit ribosomal RNA", at positions 122 to 357 of the family's 1533-position model. Lineage: Bacteria; Bacillati; Bacillota; Bacilli; Lactobacillales; Lactobacillaceae. The record is from RNAcentral.